UACGAAGGGGGCUAGCGUUGCUCGGAAUUACUGGGCGUAAAGCGCACGUAGGCGGCAUGUUAAGUCAGGGGUGAAAUCCCGGGGCUCAACCCCGGAACUGCCUUUGAUACUGGAGAGCUUGAGUCCGGAAGAGGUGAGUGGAACUCCGAGUGUAGAGGUGAAAUUCGUAGAUAUUCGGAAGAACACCAGUGGCGAAGGCGGCUCACUGGUCCGGUACUGACGCUGAUGUGCGAAAGCGUGGGGAGCAAACAGG
Molecule: ribosomal RNA, 253 nt
Filed under: uncultured bacterium
Lineage: Bacteria
Description: partial 16S ribosomal RNA
Rfam family: Bacterial small subunit ribosomal RNA
Source: RNAcentral